Scylla paramamosain (green mud crab) is the source of this 1667-nucleotide long non-coding RNA. RefSeq lists it as uncharacterized. The transcript has 2 exons. The record is from RefSeq and is a predicted model, not a curated record. Lineage: Eukaryota; Metazoa; Arthropoda; Malacostraca; Decapoda; Portunidae.
GGAUGCGUGUAGUGAUACCAAAGCAUCUUUAAAACUCGUGCAACUUCAAGUCGAGCCUUUGGAAAGUAGUCGGGGUGUAGUGUAGAAGCGUUUCACAAUACAAUCCACACUCUCACUCCAUCAGACAGGUGUUUCAUUGUAUUAACGUACCACGCACCCACUUAUCCCUCUUUGUUCUCCCCCCCCUUAAUCCUCCUAUUGUCUGCAAGGCGAGAGACGGGUACCGGUCUUGUCCCAGCGCUGAUAUCACAGGAAUGCAGAUGUUAACUCAUAUUUAUCUACCAUAUCUGGUGAUGCAGAGAGAUGUGUUCCUGUAGCGAAGACUUCUAUAAAAUCUUAUUUAUCGCCUUAACUACCACUAUCACUCCUACUGUAUUUUGUUACGAGUUAACACGCUUGUUAUUCCAGCAACUGUUAACUCGGCGUGACUGACGUGUGUGUGUGUGUGUGUGUGUGUGUGUGUGUGUGUGUGUGCUUGCUGGCGUCAGAUAACUUUUGGUGACACCGGCCGUGUGUUCCUCAGCAGGUGUGUGUGUGCCGCAGAUGUGUAUAUGUGUGUGGCAGGAGAGCCGGUGUUGCUGCAUCGUCUCUACUCAGCAAGUGUUUCAAGACUGCAAUUAUCGUACUCCUGAACUGCCUAGGAUGACUGGUGGACGGCGUUACUGCUUGGCGCUGGUGUGUAUUACCCUCCCCGUCCUGCUCUGCCUGUGCGUGGGAGGCAGCUCGACAGACGACAGAAGGCUGAUGACCACACAUGAGCUCGAGGACCCAAACAAACAAACCGCCGGAUUGACAUGGAAAGCCCUCGCUAACAUCUCGUAUUUCGUCAUUCGCACCACCGUCAGUGUUCUACGGAAACUGAUAAUUUACCUCGUCUCCCAUUACUUCUCCUCUACCCUGUCCCUCUACGGCCUCCAGGACUUGCUACACGAGUCUUGGAUCCUGAAUGUGCUAGAGAGACGCUUGUUGGGCAGUGAGAAGGAGAGAAGCUGGCUGGAGUAUCGGCUGGAUAUAGAUGCGAUUGAGGAGAUCAUUGCCUUUUUGAAGGAUGGUACUGAUGGAGGCUGGGCAUUGAGAGAGAGAGAGAGAGAGAGAGAGAGAGAGAGAGAGAGGAGAGAGAGAGAGAGAGAGAGAGAGAGAGAGAGAGAGAGAGAGAGAGAGAGAGUGUGUGUCUGUGAUUAGAUUAAUGUAAGGUAUAUAAACAAAAAGAGGAGCUGACGUGAACUGUAAAGAUUGAAUUUCCAAUAUCAAGUAAAAUUCUCAGGAUCGGUAAUCAUAACAGAACAAGGAACAUCGGGUUCAUGCUUGAUAAAAUUCGAAAAAAAAAAAAAAAAAAAAUAGUUUUGAAAUAGAGUAGUGGAUGAAUGGAACGGACUCGGUAAUCCUGCUGUUGGUGCUGAGUCAUUAAGGAAGAUUAGAUAAACGUGUGGAUGGGGAUGACAAGUGGAAGCAGGCAGGUGUGUUUCAUACAGGGAGUGCCACGUGUAGGCCUGGUGGCUUCCUGCACCAACCCUUGUGUUCUUGUGUUCCUGCUAACUAAGAAACUAGGAACUAAGAAACAGAUCAGAGGAGAGAUGUUUAUGUCAAAAAUUAUCUCAAGUUUGUAGAAAAAUGGAUGAAAAUUAUAUAGAAGUGAGAAAGAUUAAUGGAAUAAAGAUUGAAAACUA